GGUGCGCGUGCGCGGCGAUGGGGCGCGGUUGCUUCUUUUAUUCACUUUCUCUGCCUCUGGUUACCUGUGUCUCGGCCCUGUGGAAUCAACAAAGAAAAAACUUGCUUUUAUUGAAAUAUUUAUCACUUGUUGAGAAACCAGUCAGUAAACCUGUUCAGAAGCUAAUGUCAUCAGAAACACCAAUAGAAAGCCCAGAGGUGCCAACAGAAAAUACCAUGUCCCCUAAAGUUCCUGAUGUGGAAGAAAAGACGAAGUCCAGUGGCAGUCCAGUAGAGAGACAGGAGACAGGCUCAAACAAGGAAGAAUGCCUUGAGCUCCUGUCCAAGAGGCAAAGGAAGAAGUUGUUGAAGCAGAAACAGUGGGAAGAACAGAAAGAUCUACGGAGGCAGAAACGAAAAGAAAAACGCCAGAAGAGAAAACAAGAACGUCAGUCAAAAUUGGACUUCAGUAAUGAAGGGAAUGACAGAAAGCGUGUGCGAAGGGAAGGUGUUCCUAGUACACUUCGCCUGAUUGUGGACUGCAGCUUUGAUGACCUGAUGGUGCUAAAGGAUGUUAAGAAGCUUCACAAGCAAAUUCAGAGAUGUUAUGCAGAAAACCGCAAAGCAUUUCAUCCUGUGCAGUUUUACUUGACCAGCCAUGGGGGACAGUUGAAGAGCAACAUGAAUGAAAGUAACAAAGGAUGGGUGAACUGGAAGGAUAUUCAAAUUAGAACAGAGCACUAUACUGAGCUAAUAAAGAAAGAAGACCUAGUAUAUCUUACCUCGGACUCCCCAGAUAUUCUCAGUGAGCUCGAUGAGAAGAAAGCCUAUGUCAUUGGAGGACUGGUGGAUCACAACCACCACAAGGGAAUUACUUACAAAAAGGCUGUAGAGCAGGGAAUUAGUCAUGCACAGCUCCCCCUUGGAAACUUUGUCAGGAUGAACAGUCGGAAAGUGUUAGCUGUCAAUCAUGUGUUUGAGAUCAUCCUUGCAUACCUGGAGAAGAGAGACUGGAAGGAGGCCUUUUUCAGUGUCUUGCCACAGCGGAAAGGGGCUGUUCCUUUGGAAGAAGCCAGUGGUUCAUCCAAAUGUACUCUGCCUGGAAAAGAAGAUGAAGACAAUGACUCGGAGAACAGCUAGGCUUCAAAAUGAGAUUAUGGGAAAGAUGAGACACACAGUUCAUGAGAUAGAACCAGGACAUGAAGUAGUUACAUUCUGAAGACUGUCUCCUGCCCUCGUGAAUUGUCUCAGUGCUCUGUAGUUCCAUAGUUGACCCAGAGCUUUUUCAGGACACAAAGGGGAUCUCUGGUCAGAAGUCAGUGAGCUGCUGAACCACUGCUCUUCUUUUCUCUGUGGGUAGGCAUCGCCAAUCUAUGAAUGGCCCAGGAAUCAAAAUGUGGUUGGCAUAAGGUUCUAAGGUUGGCAUAAGGUAAGUGCAUAGGGAAAGCAAAAGUGGGCUAACUGCUCUUAAGAAACAGCAGUUUACUGAGUGUGGCUACAUGGCACUAUCUGUCCAUGAGUUAUUUUGCAGCCAAACCACAGUAAACACAGUUUGAAGAACUGGGUUCCGAAUGUACAAGUGAACAGUAAAAAUAAAGCAUAGCCCUUUACUGUAUGCCCUGCUCAGCAAUCAAAGAACAACAUCUCAACAGACACCCACCUCCCAGUUACAAUGCAAUAGUUGGGAGAAAAGUGGGUCUGUAUUUUUAGCAUCUUUACUGCAAAACACCUUCGUAAUGCCCUUUGCUGUCCAGCACCAGUGCAUCAAGACUUGCAUUCCUUUUUCUCAAGGGUGCGCAAUCUUCCCUGUGAUAAGUGUUUGGAAUGGAAUACUAACUUACCCCUCAGAUCUCGUACAAUCACAAGAGAGGAGAUGAGUAAUUACCAGCAUGUGACUAAAGAAUUACUGCAGAAAGAUUCUUUUCUCAGAAGAAGCAUCAGCUUUUUCCAGGAAAGCAGAGCUGCAAAGUGACAAAAUGGCACCAGCAAAAGUAAAACUGUUGGCAGUGAAGAAAUGUUACUCCAAAUCCUUUCAGCAACAUCUGCACAUCCUUCUGGAAACCGACAUGCAGAGUGUCUUCUCAAGUUGAAAACCAGAAAGGCCAUAAGAUACACUUUAUGUUAUAUUGGGCCCUGGGGCAUUUUUACCUAUAAAAAUUCACAAGAGAUAUUGAGAGAUCUCUAAAGGACUGUAUUUCUUUCCUUUUUGUUUUGCUUUUACUACCUCACAUAGUACAGUAGUGCAACUAUUUGCUGACAUGCAUAAUAAUCUGAAGAAAAUCUUGGAAGGUGUAUUUCAUAGAUGCAUGCUUCUAGUGUUGUGUAACUACUAUUGCAGAAUGUUCCUCUGUGCCUAUGGAUGUGGGAAGAGCACUAGAGAGCCAGAGUUAAUAGAAAAUACCCACACCUUUGCUACAUGUAAGAGACAGCAGGGCAUUGUUGGAAGGAGGAAUUCAAGAAAUUCAAAGGAUGUGGGAGGAACUGCAAGGUAGAAUUCUUUGGUGCUGCUGUUCAGUUAAUUGUUGCAUCAGCUGUGAUAACAAAAUGUCUUCUUGGAGACCACGACUGUCUGCCUCAGUAAUUUGUGGACAACGCCAGGUUGGGUGGGAAUGUUGAUCUGUUGUAGGAUAGGAAGGCUCUGCAGAGGGGUCUGGAAAGGCUGGAUCAAUGGGCUGUGGCAAAUUAUACGAGGUUCAACAAGGCGAAGUGCCAAGUCAUGCACUUUGGUCAUGACAGCCCCAUGCAAUACCACAGCCUUGGGAAAGAGUGUCUGGAAAGCUGCUCGGUGGAAAAGGACCUGGGGGUGUUGGUCAACAGCCAGAUGAACAUGAGCCAGCUUGUGCCACGUGGCCAAGGCCAGUGGUAUUCUGGCUUGUACCUGCCUGAGUUUACAUACAUCUGCAGUAUUUCUCCCUACUUCCUAUUCCUGUACCCCUCUUGAAUUAAUUAUUCAUACAGGUGAACCUGAGAGAGCACUGUGUUUACUAAGUGCUAGUCAGGUUAUAUAGAAUCAUAAAAUAUGAUUCUAUAUGCACUGUUUAAUCUCUAUUUAAUCUUUAUAUGCAGUAUUUAAUCUCUUUUUUGCUUCUUUCUGAAGGAAGAAUCUUGUUUUCAGAAUGCUGGGCUAUAUUUGGUUUGCCUGUCAAGGUUUGGGCAGUGGGGGAGCUACGGGAGUGGUUUCUGUGAGAAGCUGCCAGAAGCUUUCUCAUGUCCAGUGAAGCUAAUGCCAGCUGGAUCCAAGAAGGACCCACUGCUGGCCCAGGCUGAGCCUGUCAGCGAGAGUGGUAACAACUCUGGGAUAACAUAUUUCAGAAAGGGAGAAAGUUACUGCACAAGAGCGGAUGCAGCCAGAGAGAGGAUUGAGAAUUUAUGAGCAAAACAGCUCUGCAGAUAGCAAGGUCAGUGCAGAAGGUGAAAGUGCACUAGGUGCUGAAGCAGAGGUUCCCCUGCAGCCCAUGGAGGUCCAUGGUGGAGCAGAUACCCACCUGCAGCUUGGGGAAGCCCCCAUGCCAGAGCAGGGGGAUGCCUAAAGGAGGUAGUGACCCUGCUGAGAUGCCUGUGCUGGAACAGGCUCCUGGCAGGGCAUGUGGCCCUGUGGAGGUUGGAGCUGAGCUGGAGCUGAUUUGCUGCAGGACUUGUGACCCUGCAGGUGGACCCACGCUGGAGCAGU
This is an RNA transcript of Melopsittacus undulatus (budgerigar), 3648 nucleotides long. It is a transcript of the gene named tRNA methyltransferase 10A, with no coding region annotated. The record is from RefSeq and is a predicted model, not a curated record. NCBI's taxonomy places the organism in Eukaryota, Metazoa, Chordata, Aves, Psittaciformes, Psittaculidae. The transcript is spliced from 10 exons.